Molecule: small nuclear RNA, 107 nt
Organism: Psammomys obesus (fat sand rat)
Lineage: Eukaryota; Metazoa; Chordata; Mammalia; Rodentia; Muridae
Source: RefSeq, a predicted model, not a curated record
GUAUUACUCACUUCGGCAGCACAUAUACUAAAAUUGUGAUACAGAGGUGAUUAGCAUGGCCCCUGAACAAGGAUGACAUGCAAUUUCAUGAAGAGGUCCAUAUUUUU